CCUACGGGGGGCAGCAGUAGGGAAUUUUCGUCAAUGGGCGCAAGCCUGAACGAGCAAUGCCGCGUGAACGAGGAAGGUCAUCGGAUCGUAAAGUUCUGUUGAAGGGGAAAAAGAGCGGAGAGAGGAAAUGGUCUCCGAUUGAUAUUACCCUUCGAGGAAGUCACGGCUAACUACGUGCCAGCAGCCGCGGUAAUACGUAGGUGGCGAGCGUUAUCCGGAAUGAUUGGGCGAAAAGGGUGCGUAGGCGGUCUGCUAAGUCUGGAGUGAAAGGUACCGGCUCAACCGGUACAGGCUCUGGAAACUGGCGGGCUAGAGAGCAGGAGAGGGCGGUGGAACUCCAUGUGUAGCGGUAAAAUGCGUAGAUAUAUGGAAGAACACCAGUGGCGAAGGCGGCCGCCUGGCCUGUUACUGACGCUGAGGCACGAAAGCGUGGGGAGCAAAUAGGAUUAGAUACCCGAGUAGUC
Molecule: ribosomal RNA, 464 nt
Filed under: uncultured bacterium
Lineage: Bacteria
Description: partial 16S ribosomal RNA
Rfam family: Bacterial small subunit ribosomal RNA
Source: RNAcentral